Molecule: ribosomal RNA, 435 nt
Filed under: uncultured bacterium
Lineage: Bacteria
Description: partial 16S ribosomal RNA
Rfam family: Bacterial small subunit ribosomal RNA
Source: RNAcentral
AGCGAACGCUGGCGGCAGGCUUAGCACAUGCAAGUCGAGCGGGACUCCUCGGAUGUUAGCGGCAGACGGGUGAGCAACACGAGGGAACGCACCCUUCGGUUCGGCAACAUUCUGGGAAAAUGGAGCUAGUACCGGAUUAGCACUUAUGGGGAAAGGUUGACUGGCGAAGGAUUGGCCCGCGUCUGAUUAGUUUGCUGGUGAGGUGACGGCCUACCAAGGGGCGGGUCAGUAGCUUGUCAGAGAGGAUGACCAGACACACAGGGACUGAGACACGGCCCAGACUCCGACGGGAGGCAGGAGUGAGGAAGAUUGGAGAACGAAGACUAGCCUGAUCCAGCCAUGCCUGGAGAAUGAUGAAUGCCGUAAGGUAGAAAAGUUCUUGUGUCCGAGAAGAUAAUGACGGUACCGAAAGAAGAAGCCCCGGCUAACUUCGUG